CCACUAGUUAAAAACUUAAAACUUUUAUGUUCUGAAAUUUGAACGUGGCAAAUUCCCCAAAUUUCCCACUAAUUAGCGGCAGUAUUUUUUCAAAAGGCAAAGAUAGUAAGAGAGGGAAAUUUUCAUUCUCCUGCCCUAGCCUCACCUACGAAGAGAACGAGAAGAAGAAAAAUUGCUCGAAUUUCCUUCCCAACCCAAUGUCUAUAAUUCCCCUCAAAAUUGAUUUCGAUUUGUUGGUGAUUGGGAAAAUCAAAGACGACCUUGGACCUUGACAUCGACAACGAAGAGGAGUCGAUGUUGAUUCAGCCCGACGCCUUUAUCGUUCUUGGCAGCCGGCCCGUCCACCAAAUCUCUUUGGGAAUAUCUGCAUCUGCACCAGUUGGUUUUCAAGUGAUGUGAAGCUUCUUUGUUACUCAUUUCAAUACAUGGAGAUUGUGAUGGAAAUGCACAGGAAGUAUAAGUUCGUGCAACUGGAUUUUUGGUAUUCUUGCUGGCUAGCUUCCUGGGGAUUGGAGCUUCUUUGUGCCAUACAUAGUGGGGAGCAUCUCUUUUUGGUAUUUCUUGCAAUAUGGAAUCUCCUGAAGUAAUGAACAUGCAUUUUGCUGAAGUCUUUGAUGGGAGAUCAUAUAUGAGGGUGAUUUUUAUUUGAAACAAUAUACUUUAUUUGUGUUUACAACUUUAUAUGCUUUCGUCACCUUAACUGAGUAUACUAACAAAUCUUCUUGCAUAUACAUUUAGAGGAUAUCCAGUAAAUCUAUUGAUCCGUUGCGAAGGAGAAGACAAUGUAAAGUGGGGCUUUAUUAAUGCCCUAAAAGAGGUUAAGUAUAAGUUUCAGUACACUUUUCGUUAUAAAUUCUUUGAGUUCAGAUUUGUGAGCUACAUGAAUUUGUUUAAUACUUUCCACUAAAAGAGAUUUGCAUUUUGCAGAGGACAUCAGAGAAGCAGCUAUUCCACACAACUCAUUUUUCUACUAAGUGUUGAGUUCAUGUGUUGGGUAUAUUCAACAAUGUUUGCUAUAAAUUCUGAGUUCAGAGAUUUGUGCCUACAUGGAUCUAUUUGAUUCUUUUUAAUAAUAGAGAUUUUCAUUUUGCAGAUACUUUUCGACAAGAAAGAUUUGGAUCUUGCAGAACACAGUAGAGAUUUGGAAGAAUAACACAGUUUUAUCUUGCAAAAGACAGUAGAGAUUUGGAAGAAUAACACGGUAGCAUGAGAAUUAUAUCUUGGUUUUAGUUUUAGCUAUCUCAUUAGAUGGUUGUUAUGUUAGUGCUACUUCAAGAGCUCAUAAGAUUCUAUAGAUUUUUUAAUUAUUUUUCGAUUACUUUUUUAUCGAUACUACUUUGUAAUUUUUUCAAAUUUGAAAUAAAUAGAAAAUAUUUCAUUUCA
Molecule: RNA transcript, 1383 nt
Organism: Salvia miltiorrhiza (redroot sage)
Lineage: Eukaryota; Viridiplantae; Streptophyta; Magnoliopsida; Lamiales; Lamiaceae
Exons: 5
Source: RefSeq, a predicted model, not a curated record